Molecule: non-coding RNA, 73 nt
Organism: Octopus bimaculoides (California two-spot octopus)
Lineage: Eukaryota; Metazoa; Mollusca; Cephalopoda; Octopoda; Octopodidae
Source: Rfam
AGCAGUUUAGCUUAAAGGUAGAGCACUCUGACCGGAAAUCAGAGGGGUGUGAGUUCGAUCCUCAUGGUUGGUU